Molecule: ribosomal RNA, 497 nt
Filed under: uncultured bacterium
Lineage: Bacteria
Description: partial 16S ribosomal RNA
Rfam family: Bacterial small subunit ribosomal RNA
Source: RNAcentral
GAUGAACGCUGGCGGCGUGCCUAAUACAUGCAAGUCGAGCGAACAGACGAGGAGCUUGCUCCUCUGACGUUAGCGGCGGACGGGUGAGUAACACGUGGAUAACCUACCUAUAAGACUGGGAUAACUUCGGGAAACCGGAGCUAAUACCGGAUAAUAUAUUGAACCGCAUGGUUCAAUAGUGAAAGACGGUUUUGCUGUCACUUAUAGAUGGAUCCGCGCCGCAUUAGCUAGUUGGUAAGGUAACGGCUUACCAAGGCAACGAUGCUUAGCCGACCUGAGAGGGUGAUCGGCCACACUGGAACUGAGACACGGUCCAGACUCCUACGGGAGGCAGCAGUAGGGAAUCUUCCGCAAUGGGCGAAAGCCUGACGGAGCAACGCCGCGUGAGGGAUGAAGGUCUUCGGAUCGUAAAACUCGGUUAUUAGGGAAGAACAAAUGUGUAAGUAACUAUGCACGUCUUGACGGUACCUAAUCAGAAAGCCACGGCUAACUACGUG